AGCCACCUGAGUGUUAAAAACAAACAAACGAACAAGCAAAUUCUUUAUAGCAAUAUUCUAAAUACAAUCCCCUUGCAGCAUUUUUUGGUUGACUGAGUUACUUAAAUAUAUGAGGAAGUUUUUGCAAUGAAAGCUGUUAUGCCAAAGGCCUAGUCCUUAAUUCCUGUUUCUUCCUCUCCUUCGUACCUGACGAAAAUUUAUGGUCCAUUCUGUUAACAAUGGAACCAUCAACACUGAACAAGAGUCACUCACCAAAUGAACUCAAAAGGGAGCAGAGUUUGACACAGAUAUUGACUGUAAAAAUAUUCAUGAGCUCAUCCUUACACUAAGAAAAAAGGUCCAGAACUAGUGGGUGACAGCAGCAAGCACAAACAGCAAGAAGGAAGCAGAGACACAACUCCUGAUCAAAACUGGAUAAAAUUUCAGGUUCAGCUAAUACCAGAAAAAUGGGCUUUCCAAAAGCACAAUAAAAC
Molecule: long non-coding RNA, 473 nt
Organism: Columba livia (rock pigeon)
Lineage: Eukaryota; Metazoa; Chordata; Aves; Columbiformes; Columbidae
Exons: 3
Source: RefSeq, a predicted model, not a curated record